GCCGGGCGCAGUGGCGCGUGCCUGUAGUCCCAGCUACUCGGGAGGCUGAGGUGGGAGAAUCAUUUUAGCCCAGCAGUUCUGAGAGGCUGUAGUGCGCUAUGCCAAUCGGGUGUCCGCACUAAGUUCAGCAUCAAUAUGGUGACCUCCCGGGAGCGAGGAACCACCAGGUUGCCUAAGGAGGGGUGAGCCGGCCCAGGCUGGAAACAGAGCAGGUCAAAACUCCUGUGCUGAUCAGUAGUGGGAUCGCACCUGUGAAUAGCCACGGCACUCCAGCCUGGGCAACACAGCAAGACCCCAUCUCU
RNAcentral lists this signal recognition particle RNA (302 nucleotides) under Cebus imitator (Panamanian white-faced capuchin). RNAcentral's name for it is "Metazoan signal recognition particle RNA (ENSCCAG00000002189.1)". It matches the Rfam family "Metazoan signal recognition particle RNA". Rfam says of the family: The signal recognition particle (SRP) is a universally conserved ribonucleoprotein. It is involved in the co-translational targeting of proteins to membranes. The record is from RNAcentral. Lineage: Eukaryota; Metazoa; Chordata; Mammalia; Primates; Cebidae.